UACGGAGGUGGCAAGCGUUAUCCGGAUUUACUGGGUGUAAAGGGUGCGUAGGCGGGCUUGCAAGUCAGAAGUAAAAUCUAUGGGCUUAACCCAUAAACUGCUUUUGAAACUGUAAGUCUUGAGUGAAGUAGAGGUAGGCGGAAUUCCCGGUGUAGCGGUGAAAUGCGUAGAUAUAUGGAAGAACACCAGUGGCGAAAGCGGCUCUCUGGUCUGUAACUGACGCUGAGGUUCGAAAGCGUGGGUAGCAAACAGG
RNAcentral lists this ribosomal RNA (253 nucleotides) under uncultured Ruminococcus sp. RNAcentral describes it as "partial 16S ribosomal RNA". It matches the Rfam family "Bacterial small subunit ribosomal RNA", at positions 524 to 776 of the family's 1533-position model. The record is from RNAcentral. Lineage: Bacteria; Bacillati; Bacillota; Clostridia; Eubacteriales; Oscillospiraceae.